RNAcentral lists this small nucleolar RNA (136 nucleotides) under Otolemur garnettii (small-eared galago). Its description in RNAcentral is "Small nucleolar RNA SNORA42/SNORA80 family (ENSOGAG00000021863.1)". The record is from RNAcentral. Lineage: Eukaryota; Metazoa; Chordata; Mammalia; Primates; Galagidae.
GUGUGGUAAUGGAUUUGUGGGGCGUGUUCUCUGUGGGUCUCAUAAUGUGCCUGUACCAGAGUAAACUGCAGCCUUAAACAUUGUCCAGGCUCCUCCUUACCUGUAGGUGAUGAGCACUGAAGGGGAUUGCACAGUG